This 1422-nucleotide ribosomal RNA is filed under the name human gut metagenome. Its description in RNAcentral is "bacterial LSU rRNA". It matches the Rfam family "Bacterial large subunit ribosomal RNA", at positions 466 to 1980 of the family's 2925-position model. The record is from RNAcentral.
CUAAAUACUACCCAGUGACCGAUAGCGUAUAGUACUGUGAAGGAAAGGUGAAAAGCACCCCGGGAGGGGAGUGAAAAAGAACCUGAAACCCUGUGCCUACAAGCACCUAGAGCACGUCAAUGUGUGAUAGGGUACUUUUUGUAGAACGGUCCGGCGAGCGAUUGUAUGCAGCAAGGUUAAGGACUUAAGGUCUGGAGCCGAAGCGAAAGCGAGUUUGAAAAGGGCGUUAAGUUGCAUAUAAUGGGCCCGAAACCGGGUGACCUACCCAUGGUCAGGUUGAAGUGGAAGUAAAAUUCCAUGGAGGACCGAACCGACCUCCGUUGAAAAGGCGGCGGAUGAACUGUGGGUAGCGGAGAAAUUCCAAUCGAACCCGGAGAUAGCUGGUUCUCCCCGAAAUAGUUUUAGGACUAGCCUCAAGUUAGAUACCUGGAGGUAAAGCACUGAAUAGCCUAGCGGCCGAGAGGUUAGCGAAGCUUAUCAAACUCAGAAUGCCAGAGUAUUGAUGCUUGGGAGUCAGACAGUGUCAGAUAAAUGUCAUUGUCAAAAGGGAAACAGCCCAGAUCUACAGCUAAGGUCCCAAAGUCAGGUUAAGUGGAAAACGAUGUGAAGAUACGCAGACAACCAGGAUGUUGGCUCAGAAGCAGCCACUCAUUCAAAGAGUGCGUAAUAGCUCACUGGUCGAGCGUCUUUGCGCGGAGAAUUUAACGGGGCUAAACCUGACACCGAAGCUUAGGCAAUGUAGUAAUACAUUGGGUAGGGGAGCGUUGUAUACGCGGUGAAACAGUAGCGCAAGCGGCUGUGGAGUGUAUAGAAGUGAGAAUGCCGGAAUGAGUAGCGCGAAUGCAGUGAGAAUCUGCAUGGCCGAAAGCCUCAGGUUUUUGGAGGAAGGUUCGUCCGCUCCAAGUUAGUCGGGAGCUAAGGUGAGGCCGAAAGGCGUAGCCGAUGCACAGACGGUAGAGAUUCCGUCACCACCAAAAGAGUUAAGCACAGGGACACAUUUGAAGUCUCAGAGCCGGGUGUUGGUUCCGGUAGAGAUCGAGGGAAAUUAGUACCGAAGUCUGAGAUGGAAGAUGGCGAGAAAAGCUGUGUGUAUUUCUGAGGUGCCCGUACCGCAAACCGACACAGGUAGGUAGGAAGAAGAUUCUAAGGCCAACGGGAGAAGGGUUGUUAAGGAACUCGGCAAAUUGACCCCGUAACUUCGGGAGAAGGGGUGCUCCAGAGAUGGAGCCGCAGAGAAUCGGCCCAAGCAACUGUUUACCAAAAACACAGGUUUGUGCUAAAUCGAAAGAUGACGUAUACGAGCUGACGCCUGCCCGGUGCUGGAAGGUUAAGAGGAGAUGUGCAAGCAUUGAAUCGAAGCCCCAGUGAACGGCGGCCGUAACUAUAACGGUCCUAAGGUAGCGAAAUUCCUUGUCAGGUAAG